RNAcentral lists this ribosomal RNA (274 nucleotides) under uncultured bacterium. Its description in RNAcentral is "partial 16S ribosomal RNA". It matches the Rfam family "Bacterial small subunit ribosomal RNA", at positions 523 to 796 of the family's 1533-position model. The record is from RNAcentral.
AUACAGAGGGUGCGAGCGUUAAUCGGAAUUACUGGGCGUAAAGCGCGCGUAGGCGGCUUGGUCAGUCGGAUGUGAAAGCCCCGGGCUCAACCUGGGAAUGGCAUUCGAUACUGCCAGGCUAGAGUAUGGGAGAGGGAAGUGGAAUUUCCGGUGUAGCGGUGAAAUGCGUAGAUAUCGGAAAGAACACCAGUGGCGAAGGCGACUUCCUGGCCCAAUACUGACGCUGAGGUGCGAAAGCGUGGGGAGCGAACGGGAUUAGAUACCCUUGUAGUCC